AUGUUCUACUCAGACGCUGCAACUUUCUCGAGCCUGGAUAAGUCCGGCAUUGGGGUCGUCGGCAAGGUUGACGGAGGUCAAUUCGUGGUGGCCUGUAGCGAGCCUAUUGCGGGUAGCUUGGAACCUAAAAUGGCUGAGGCCAUGGCUCUUCGACGUGUUGUUUUUUUGGCGCAUGAUGAACAAGUUUCAGAUGUUAUCUUCGCCUCUGACUGUCUCUCACUUGUGCAAAGGAUCAACUCGCCUAUGAGGGACCGUUCUUCAAUUGGAGUGGUGGUGGCUGAUAUCAAGUCUUUGUCUGAAGGCUUCUCUUCAGUCUCCUUCAAACAUGUUCGUCGGCAUUUAAAUGUUCCUGCUCAUGUGCUAGCUAAAUCUUGUAUGAACUCUUCUAGUCUUUGUGUGUUCCAUUCUGUUCCGGAUUGUAUCCGGCAAACUCUGUGUAAUGUUGUUCAUUAA
This 453-nucleotide ribosomal RNA is filed under the name Triticum aestivum (bread wheat). Its description in RNAcentral is "partial small subunit ribosomal RNA". The record is from RNAcentral. Lineage: Eukaryota; Viridiplantae; Streptophyta; Magnoliopsida; Poales; Poaceae.